RNAcentral lists this ribosomal RNA (482 nucleotides) under uncultured bacterium. Its description in RNAcentral is "partial 16S ribosomal RNA". It matches the Rfam family "Bacterial small subunit ribosomal RNA", at positions 30 to 505 of the family's 1533-position model. The record is from RNAcentral.
AUUGAACGCUGGCGGCAGGCCUAACACAUGCAAGUCGAGCGGAUGAAGGGAGCUUGCUCCUGGAUUCAGCGGCGGACGGGUGAGUAAUGCCUAGGAAUCUGCCUGGUAGUGGGGGAUAACGUCCGGAAACGGGCGCUAAUACCGCAUACGUCCUGAGGGAGAAAGUGGGGGAUCUUCGGACCUCACGCUAUCAGAUGAGCCUAGGUCGGAUUAGCUAGUUGGUGGGGUAAAGGCCUACCAAGGCGACGAUCCGUAACUGGUCUGAGAGGAUGAUCAGUCACACUGGAACUGAUACACCGUUGAGACUCAGACUGGACGCAGCAGUGGGGAAUUGUGGACAAUGUCGGAAAGUCUGAUACAGCCAUGCCGCGUGUGUGAAGAAAGUCGUUGUAUUGUAAAGCACUUUGAGUUGAGAGGAAGAGCAGUAAGUUAAUACCGUGCUGUUGUGACGUUACCAACAGAAUAAGCACAGGCGAACGUCG